CUCUUUCUUUCUGCUCUUCGUUUUCAUCGAUUACGGCGGUGAGAUUUAUGCCUUUCAACUCAUCUUUUCUUUGUAUCUAUCAUAUUCCAUACUAAUCGAUUUUGAUAUGGCUAAUUUGGGUUUUUUCUCCUAUUCGAGGGUUUUUUUAUAUACUCGAGGGCGAGUCCGGACAGUUGUCACAAGCCGAUGAUGCUUAGGAAACGAGCAGAAGAAGGUGGAGUGUCGCUGAAGUAUUUACAGGAUCUGCACGAGAAGAAUGAGAGCUUUGAGAGUGGAAACCACGGGGUGCUCUCUGUUAGUAAACCGUCUUUGGAGAUGGAUAACUCUCUCCAUCCUGAUAUCAAGGACCGUGUGUCCUUUACUUGGAAGGGAAUCAUAUGCGUUCUAGCAUCCAGAAGGUUCCUGCUUUGGUUUUGCACUAUGAACCAAAUAUUGACUCCAGCAGAGAUAUUGAAGCAAAGAGACAGCAAGUUCUUUCCAAUGUUAAUGUCAUCAUAACUUGCGUUACUGAUAUGUUUAUGAUUAGUAUUGUUGAAGGUACGCACGGCAAGUUGCUGAGUUUUUUUACUUUGCGAAGAAGAAUCAAGAAACGUCGCAAGAGCAGCCGACAUUGCUGAUGCCUCCUCAUAAUGGAGGUCUCUGGAUUGGACCAGAAGGGAAGCAUGUCCCAUGAUUAGAACUCCCGUCUCAAGAUUACAGGAAGGGCAUGUCGCUCUUAACCAGACCGUCUGCGUGAAACUCUCCCCCACUGUUUUGUUUGCUCUGAAGCAGCAUUGUCAGGGUUAUAUCGAGUGUCAAUAGAGAAAGAUUUGAUGAUGUCUCAGUUUCAUCUUCUUUCUUUAAAGCUUUUCCUCUCUAAAGGUGCUGAAACUUUUCCAUCGGACAAGAACAUUAAGUAAAAAGACUGUCUCAAACAACAUGGAGUGUAAUAAGGAUGAAGCUAAAAGGGCAAUGGACAUUGCUGAGAAGAAAAUUUCAGAGAACGAUUACGUUGGAGCCAAGAAAUCUGUCACCAAGGCUCAAGACCUAUACCCUCACCUUGAUGGUUUGGAUCAAGUGUCUACGAUGAUCCAUGUUUACGUCUCAGCUGCAAACAAAAUCAACGGAUGAAAAUCUGACCUGUAUGGUGUUCUCGUUGUUGAUCCUCUCGCUGAUGAUGAAGCUCUGAAGAAACAGUACAAGAAGCUGGCACUUUUUCUUCAUCCUAAUAAGAACAAUUGUAAAGGCGCGGAAGGUGCAUUUAAGUUGCUUUUGUAUGCUUGGUCUAUGUUAAAUGACAAGGCUAAGAGAAGUGCUUAUGAUAAGAGGAGGAAGUUAAGUACUGGAAUGCAGAAACCACCUUCGCCAAGCCAACACAAUAAGCCUGCAGCUUCUUCUAACGUGAAUCAAAAUGCUAAAGCUACAAGUGAGCCGCAGAGACCACUAACGUAUCAUCCCCAAGCCAUGUUCUUCAUAAUGGAAAGAAAUAUUUAUACAUAUAUAAGUGUGUUUUGUUUCUUGAAAUCUCUUAUGGUCUGGAAUUUCAGUUCUCUA
This is an RNA transcript of Raphanus sativus (radish), 1533 nucleotides long. RefSeq lists it as uncharacterized. Lineage: Eukaryota; Viridiplantae; Streptophyta; Magnoliopsida; Brassicales; Brassicaceae. The transcript is spliced from 4 exons. The record is from RefSeq and is a predicted model, not a curated record.